ACGCUCGACACCUACGGAGGCAGCAGUUGGGAAUAUUGGACAAUGGAGGAAACUCUGAUCCAGUGACGCCGCGUGAAGGAAGAAGGUCUUCGGAUUGUAAACUUAUUUUGUCAGGGAAGAAAAAAUGACUGUACCUGAAGAAAAAGCACCGGCUAACUACGUGCCAGCACGCCGGACGGUAAUCUGAGGCGGGCUGGACGAAGGC
This 205-nucleotide ribosomal RNA is filed under the name uncultured bacterium. Its description in RNAcentral is "partial 16S ribosomal RNA". It matches the Rfam family "Bacterial small subunit ribosomal RNA", at positions 328 to 538 of the family's 1533-position model. The record is from RNAcentral.